UGAAACAAGUAAAGCAAGCAAACCAACAAUAAAUUGUCCAAAGGUAUUAUUGAGAGACGUUCUAGAACACGAAUCAAUCAUUGCUGGAGAAUAAAUUCUGUUGUUUUUUUAUUACAUUAUGCGUAACAUUUUAACACUAGUUGAAUACGCAAGUUAGUAAUUGGAUCGGAUGCAAUAGAGGUUUCUCAACAUCUUACGAACGGACGAAAAUCGCCUUAACUUGACGUAACUUGCCGGAACGAGAGAAUAGAGAACUCUCAUUUAUUGAAUGAUUUUGUACUAUCGGGUGUGCACUUCCUUUUUUUAAGGUAUGCAUGCAGGGUUCUUUUAAACAAUUUUGAGUUAUGGACAUACUAUUAUAUUGAAUGCGAGUUCUCUCUGAUGUGUAUUUAAUGACUUAGUGUCCUUUUUUGUUGAGAUUAGAGGGGCAAUUUAAUUUUUUGUAUUUAUCUAGGCUCAGAUCAAAGGUAAAAAGUCCUGCGCAAAAAAG
RNAcentral lists this long non-coding RNA (490 nucleotides) under Mytilus galloprovincialis (Mediterranean mussel). The record is from RNAcentral. Lineage: Eukaryota; Metazoa; Mollusca; Bivalvia; Mytilida; Mytilidae.